This is a long non-coding RNA of Portunus trituberculatus (swimming crab), 346 nucleotides long. RefSeq lists it as uncharacterized. Lineage: Eukaryota; Metazoa; Arthropoda; Malacostraca; Decapoda; Portunidae. The record is from RefSeq and is a predicted model, not a curated record. The transcript is spliced from 2 exons.
CCACAUUCCAGCCGUUAUGAAAGUGAAACUCGAGGAGUGACAGUUGCAUCACUUUUACUGUUCACACCAGAGCUUUAGAUUGCCGGUAGACACUAAUCAUAGAGUGAUGACAAGAAUUCUGCUGUCAAUGGGAGAAACACCUACUACUUGACACAACCCAGUUUCACUCCUCUCCUCUCCAUCUCCCUCAUCCAACACACACUAAACAAGAAAAUGAUGAAGAAAAGUACCAGAUUCACGCAACACGCUGGUCAUGAGAAAGUAGCAAGAAGUCACCAGGCCUAGUCGUGGCAGUCUCUGUAUGAAACACCACCAAUCCUCCCCUUCCAUAAAUGUCUAAUAAAUC